AAUAUAUGCAAUUUUUGUAUUUAAGGUUAGAAAGCAGUAUAAAGUUUUAAAUAUUAGAUGAUUCUUGAAUUAGUAAAUUAUUUUAGUACAAACAAAAUUUGUGCCAGCAGUAGCGGUUACACAAAUUGUGCAGGUUAAAUUUAUCUGGUGAAAUUAGAAGUAUAAAUUAUUAGAUUUAAAUUAAUAUUUUUUAGGUGAAAUUUUAAAUUUUAGUUAGGUCAUUUAAUUAUUUUUGAGGUUUAGAAAUUUUUUAUUAGACUAGGAUUAGAUACCCUAUUAUUAUAAGCGUUAUUGUGUUACCUAGAUUAUUAUUAGUUAUGUUCUUUAAAAUUAAAAGAUUUGGCGGUAUUUUAGUCUUUUCAGAGGAACCUGUUUUUUAAAUGAUAAUCCACGAUGAUUAAUACUUUUGUUUUUAAUUUAUAUAUCGUCGUUAUAAAAAUCUUUUUAGAGUUAUAAUUUUUAUGAUUUUUUAUAAAAGGGUAAGUCAGAUCAAGGUGUAGUUUAUACAGAAGUUUUAAUGGGUUACAAUAUAUAUAUAUUUGGAUUAGAAUUUUUGAAUUUUUAUGAAAUUGGAUUUGUUAGUAAUUUUAGAAUCUUUAUAAGAUGAUUUAGCUCUAAAAUAUGCACAUAUCGCCCGUCGCUUUCAUUAUAAAAUGAAAUAAGUCGUAACAAAGUAGGCUUAUUGGAAAAUGAGCCUAGAAUGA
RNAcentral lists this non-coding RNA (704 nucleotides) under Luprops yunnanus. Lineage: Eukaryota; Metazoa; Arthropoda; Insecta; Coleoptera; Tenebrionidae. The record is from RNAcentral.